GGACUACUCGGGUUUCUAAUCCCGUUUGCUCCCCUGGCUUUCGUGUCUCAGCGUCAGCACAUCCCCAGCGAGCUGUUUUCACCGUUGGCGUUCCAAACGAUAUCUACGCAUUUCACCGCUCCACCGUUUGUUCCGCUCGCCCCUAGAUGGCUCAAGACUCCCAGUAUGCCAAGCAGUUCCACGGUUGAGCCGUGGGAUUUCACAAGGCACUUAGAAGUCCGCCUACACACGCUUUAAGCCCAGUGAUUCCGCCUAACGCUCGGCACCUCUGUCUUACCGCGGCUGCUGGCAC
RNAcentral lists this ribosomal RNA (292 nucleotides) under uncultured bacterium. RNAcentral's name for it is "partial 16S ribosomal RNA". The record is from RNAcentral.